Molecule: ribosomal RNA, 1434 nt
Filed under: uncultured organism
Description: 16S ribosomal RNA
Rfam family: Bacterial small subunit ribosomal RNA
Source: RNAcentral
CAGGCUUAACACAUGCAAGUCGAGGGGCAGCAUGGUCUUAGCUUGCUAAGGCCGAUGGCGACCGGCGCACGGGUGAGUAACGCGUAUCCAACCUGCCUUACACUCUUGGACAGCCUUCUGAAAGGGAGAUUAAUACAAGAUGUUAUCAUGAGUAAGCAUUUUCGCAUGAUUAAAGGUUUACCGGUGUAAGAUGGGGAUGCGUUCCAUUAGAUAGUAGGCGGGGUAACGGCCCACCUAGUCUUCGAUGGAUAGGGGUUCUGAGAGGAAGGUCCCCCACAUUGGAACUGAGACACGGUCCAAACUCCUACGGGAGGCAGCAGUGAGGAAUAUUGGUCAAUGGGCGAGAGCCUGAACCAGCCAAGUAGCGUGAAGGAUGACUGCCCUAUGGGUUGUAAACUUCUUUUAUAAAGGAAUAAAGUCGGGUAUGGAUACCCGUUUGCAUGUACUUUAUGAAUAAGGAUCGGCUAACUCCGUGCCAGCAGCCGCGGUAAUACGGAGGAUCCGAGCGUUAUCCGGAUUUAUUGGGUUUAAAGGGAGCGUAGAUGGAUGUUUAAGUCAGUUGUGAAAGUUUGCGGCUCAACCGUAAAAUUGCAGUUGAUACUGGAUAUCUUGAGUGCAGUUGAGGCAGGCGGAAUUCGUGGUGUAGCGGUGAAAUGCUUAGAUAUCACGAAGAACUCCGAUUGCGAAGGCAGCCUGCUAAGCUGCAACUGACAUUGAGGCUCGAAAGUGUGGGUAUCAAACAGGAUUAGAUACCCUGGUAGUCCACACGGUAAACGAUGAAUACUCGCUGUUUGCGAUAUACAGCAAGCGGCCAAGCGAAAGCGUUAAGUAUUCCACCUGGGGAGUACGCCGGCAACGGUGAAACUCAAAGGAAUUGACGGGGGCCCGCACAAGCGGAGGAACAUGUGGUUUAAUUCGAUGAUACGCGAGGAACCUUACCCGGGCUUAAAUUGCAGAUGAAUUACGGUGAAAGCCGUAAGCCGCAAGGCAUCUGUGAAGGUGCUGCAUGGUUGUCGUCAGCUCGUGCCGUGAGGUGUCGGCUUAAGUGCCAUAACGAGCGCAACCCUUGUUGUCAGUUACUAACAGGUUCCGCUGAGGACUCUGACAAGACUGCCAUCGUAAGAUGUGAGGAAGGUGGGGAUGACGUCAAAUCAGCACGGCCCUUACGUCCGGGGCUACACACGUGUUACAAUGGGGGGUACAGAGGGCCGCUACCACGCGAGUGGAUGCCAAUCCCCAAAACCUCUCUCAGUUCGGACUGGAGUCUGCAACCCGACUCCACGAAGCUGGAUUCGCUAGUAAUCGCGCAUCAGCCACGGCGCGGUGAAUACGUUCCCGGGCCUUGUACACACCGCCCGUCAAGCCAUGGGAGCCGGGGGUACCUGAAGUGCGUAACCGCGAGGAGCGCCCUAGGGUAAAACUGGUGACUGGGGC